GUCUGCAACUCGACUACAUGAAGCUGGAAUCGCUAGUAAUCGCGGAUCAGAAUGCCGCGGUGAAUACGUUCCCGGGUCUUGUACACACCGCCCGUCACACCAUGGGAGUCAGUAACGCCCGAAGCCGGUGACCCAACCUAUUCUGGAGGGAGCCGUCGAAGGCGGGACGGAUGACUGGGGUGAAGUCGUAACAAGGUACC
This 200-nucleotide ribosomal RNA is filed under the name uncultured bacterium. Its description in RNAcentral is "partial 16S ribosomal RNA". It matches the Rfam family "Bacterial small subunit ribosomal RNA", at positions 1303 to 1500 of the family's 1533-position model. The record is from RNAcentral.